RNAcentral lists this ribosomal RNA (492 nucleotides) under uncultured bacterium. RNAcentral describes it as "partial 16S ribosomal RNA". It matches the Rfam family "Bacterial small subunit ribosomal RNA", at positions 29 to 507 of the family's 1533-position model. The record is from RNAcentral.
AGUGAACGCUGGCGGCAGGCCUAACACAUGCAAGUCGAACGGCAGCACAGUAAGAGCUUGCUCUUACGGGUGGCGAGUGGCGAACGGGUGAGGAAUACAUCGGAAUCUACUUUUUCGUGGGGGAUAACGUAGGGAAACUUACGCUAAUACCGCAUACGACCUACGGGUGAAAGCAGGGGAUCUUCGGACCUUGCGCGAUUGAAUGAGCCGAUGUCGGAUUAGCUAGUUGGCGGGGUAAAGGCCCACCAAGGCGACGAUCCGUAGCUGGUCUGAGAGGAUGAUCAGCCACACUGGAACUGAGACACGGUCCAGACUCCUACGGGAGGCAGCAGUGGGGAAUAUUGGACAAUGGGCGCAAGCCUGAUCCAGCCAUACCGCGUGGGUGAAGAAGGCCUUCGGGUUGUAAAGCCCUUUUGUUGGGAAAGAAAAGCAGCAGGUUAAUACCCCGCUGUUCUGACGGUACCCAAAGAAUAAGCACCGGCUAACUUCGUG